This 644-nucleotide ribosomal RNA is filed under the name Salmonella enterica subsp. enterica serovar Adamstua. Its description in RNAcentral is "partial 23S ribosomal RNA". It matches the Rfam family "Bacterial large subunit ribosomal RNA", at positions 1 to 688 of the family's 2925-position model. The record is from RNAcentral. Lineage: Bacteria; Pseudomonadati; Pseudomonadota; Gammaproteobacteria; Enterobacterales; Enterobacteriaceae.
GUUAAGCGACUAAGCGUACACGGUGGAUGCCCUGGCAGUCAGAGGCGAUGAAGGGCGUGCUAAUCUGCGAUAAGCGCCGGUAAGGUGAUAUGAACCGUUAUAACCGGCGAUACCCGAAUGGGGAAACCCAGUGUGACUCGUCACACUAUCAUUAACUGAAUCCAUAGGUUAAUGAGGCGAACCGGGGGAACUGAAACAUCUAAGUACCCCGAGGAAAAGAAAUCAACCGAGAUUCCCCCAGUAGCGGCGAGCGAACGGGGAGGAGCCCAGAGCCUGAAUCAGCAUGUGUGUUAGUGGAAGCGUCUGGAAAGGCGCGCGAUACAGGGUGACAGCCCCGUACACAAAAGCGCAUGUGCUGUGAGCUCGAUGAGUAGGGCGGGACACGUGGUAUCCUGUCUGAAUAUGGGGGGACCAUCCUCCAAGGCUAAAUACUCCUGACUGACCGAUAGUGAACCAGUACCGUGAGGGAAAGGCGAAAAGAACCCCGGCGAGGGGAGUGAAAAAGAACCUGAAACCGUGUACGUACAAGCAGUGGGAGCACCCUUCGGGGUGUGACUGCGUACCUUUUGUAUAAUGGGUCAGCGACUUAUAUUCUGUAGCAAGGUUAACCGUAUAGGGGAGCCGGAGGGAAACCGAGUCUUAAC